UGAGGUGAUUUGGAAACUUGGCAUUGCAGC
This 30-nucleotide non-coding RNA is filed under the name Mus musculus (house mouse). Lineage: Eukaryota; Metazoa; Chordata; Mammalia; Rodentia; Muridae. The record is from RNAcentral.